UCUUCACCGGUCAAUCUAUGUUCCGACCUUCACCUAUGGUCAUGAGAUUUGGCUCAUGACCGAAAGAACGAGAUUGCGAGUACAAGCGGCCAUGAUGAGUUUCCUUUGCAGGGUGGUUGGGCGCUUCCUUAGAGAUAGGGUGAGGUGCUUGGUCCCUCGGCAGGAGCUCGGAGUUAAGCCGCUGCUCCUCCAUGUCAAAAGGAGCCAGCUGAGGUGGCUCGGGCAUCUUUUCCGGAUGUCCCCUGGACGCCUUGCUGGAGAGGUGUUCCGGGCA
Molecule: long non-coding RNA, 274 nt
Organism: Thalassophryne amazonica
Lineage: Eukaryota; Metazoa; Chordata; Actinopteri; Batrachoidiformes; Batrachoididae
Exons: 3
Source: RefSeq, a predicted model, not a curated record